This 442-nucleotide ribosomal RNA is filed under the name uncultured bacterium. Its description in RNAcentral is "bacterial SSU rRNA". It matches the Rfam family "Bacterial small subunit ribosomal RNA", at positions 958 to 1397 of the family's 1533-position model. The record is from RNAcentral.
AACGCGAAGAACCUUACCAACCUUUGACAUGUCCAGUAUGGAUCUGAGAGAUCAGGUCCUUCAGUUCGGCUGGCUGGAACACAGGUGCUGCAUGGCUGUCGUCAGCUCGUGUCGUGAGAUGUUGGGUUAAGUCCCGCAACGAGCGCAACCCUCAUCUUCAGUUGCUACCAGGUUAAGCUGGGCACUCUGAAGAAACCGCCGGUGACAAGCCGGAGGAAGGCGGGGAUGACGUCAAGUCCUCAUGGCCCUUACAGGUUGGGCUACACACGUACUACAAUGGUGGUGACAGUGGGCUGCGAAGUCGCAAGACGGAGCCAAUCCCCAAAAGCCAUCUCAGUUCAGAUUGCACUCUGCAACUCGAGUGCAUGAAGUUGGAAUCGCUAGUAAUCGCAGAUCAGCACGCUGCGGUGAAUACGUUCCCGGGCUUGUACACACCGACAUA